Molecule: long non-coding RNA, 2893 nt
Filed under: Oryzias sinensis (Chinese medaka)
Lineage: Eukaryota; Metazoa; Chordata; Actinopteri; Beloniformes; Adrianichthyidae
Description: lncRNA (ENSOSIG00000019131.1)
Source: RNAcentral
AUAGAUAGAUAGAUAGAUAGAUAGAUAGAUAGAUAGAUAGAUAGAUAGAUAGAUAGAUAGAGAAGGUUUGUUGUAAAUCUGUUAUUGCUGACUUAUUUUUGUAGUAUUUAGUAAAACCAUUGGAGUUUGAGCAAGCCUAACUCAAAGUUGAACUUCUUCCACUGUGACAGGAGAAAGGAGAUCGGGACCUCACACUUCCAGAAGAACCUCUCCCCCUUCUCACCAGCCUGUCAGGAGGAGAGAUGCUCUCCACGUUGGCCUGCGCCUCGUCACCCAGCAGAGGGAGCUAAAGAAGCUUCAGGGACGAGUUAAGAAAAACGCUUCCUCCAGCAAAGAGCAGCGUCCAGAGAAGAGAAAGUCUCAUAUUCCAGGCGCAGGCUUCCAGCAGCCCACGGUUUCCUCUCGGCUCCGAGUGAACCAGCUCCCUGAAAAGCAACACUCAGUGCCCUGGAUUCCAACAUCCCCCCACUCUCCACCUCCACAGCGAUCUCCUCAGAGAGGGAUAUCAGAGCCUCGCUGCCUCUUCUCUCCAGUGAAGCCCCCACUGAGCCCCCCCAAAGCAGCAGGUGGGGGGUGGAUUGGACACAGAGCUGACUCUGAGCCCAGCUAAGGCAAAAGAAGCCCAGAACGAAGCAUUAAGGAAAGCUUGGCUGGAUAAGUUGACUGUGCAGAGACAGAAGGAGCUGAAUCAUUUCACUAUAGAAGAGGCUGAACGGAUCCAGAGGUUAAGGUAUGUCACUGAUAUAAUUACCGUACUCUAAUUGGUAUACAUCUGAGGUCUGAAGGGCAGUUGAAGGUCACAUUGUAGAAGUUAGCAGUAGUUAUAAAAAAAUACACUCACAACAAAAAUGACAUUUUUAUCAACAUUAAAACAAACCGGAAUCACUUUUGAAUUCAUGGACAAGAGAUUUUGACCAGUGAGAUAGAUUUCAAAAAUAAAAGCUCCAUAAAAAAAUGUAUGUGAAACAAAAACACAGCUUCAAAUAAGAAAUACUAGUCAUUAUAUUUAAAUCAGGAGUAAUUAUGUAUUUUUUUUCAAUGGAAAACUUCCAGACAAGUAUUUACUAAUCUUGUUUCUUCUUCAUUUUUUUAUUCUGUUGUCCUUAUAUUUAACACAAUAAAUAAGUCAUGUAAAGGCAGAUAUGUAUCUGUUACUGCAUGCUCUGACCUUGGACUCAUCUCUAACUUAGCCAGCAGCUACUGGCAAGAUAACACAAACUGUCAAACGUGUAUAUUUUUCUCUUUAUACAAUCCUGGACUCCAAUUAUAUGGAAAUGCACCCAUAAACUUUUCUAGACUGAUGAAUGCAACAAUUGCUCCUAAAAAAUGCUCAUGUUUGUCCUCCUUGGCACCAUUUUAGCAUACAAGAGCUACAGAUUAAAAAAAAAAAAAAACUUAAAAUGUGGCUUUUUGUGACUGUCACUUGCUGAUGAUCAAUUUGUCAAUAUAAUUUGAUUAGUAGCAUCGCACAUUGUCUUAUCUCCUCAUUUUUAUAACAUUUUCAGGGUGUUGUUACUUUCUUUUCCCAAAAUCUCUGUUAAUCUCUAUGAACCUGAUGAGAACCGAAUGAUUUAUGACCUGAUGAAUCAUUCGAUUAAAGUAAUCUACUAAACAGCCGAGCUCAUCAAUAAGAGGGUCUCGUGCAUUUUCACUACACUGUUCGUGUUUAUGACACAAUAACCUUCAUGGAGGCUUUGCAGAGGUCAGUUUGUCCUCGUUAGAUUUCAAUUUCUCAAGGAAAAAAAAUGAAAUGCAAGAAGAUAAUCUGGUGAAACAAUACUUUUGUUGCUACUAAUAAAAUAAUGUUAUCAGGUUGUCAAUUGAACAAAAAACGUUUCCGUUUUCCUUUCUUCAGCCUCUCUAGAAUUGGAUUUGACAGUAAAUCCGAAAUAUUGCAGAUAUGCCUUUGCGGCCCCCUGUGUCAUGCUGUAGGUAUGGUUCUUAGUAUUUAUUAUUAUUUUUUGAUCUGGUGGAAGUGCUGAUUCAGUUGUCUGGACAGAAUCAGGCCGCUGUGAAGUGAGUUGUUGUAAAGCUCUGGAACCACUUAAAUGUCAUUUUUUUUGUACACGCUCAGAUUAAAAAUCAUUCUCUUUCUCCCGAAAUCCAUCAAGCAAAACAUGAUAUGCUGAGCUCGUCUGUGUUAACUCAAAUUAAAACAUUUGCUCUUCUACUUCCCAUCAUGCCUCUGUAUAUUAAGAGCUGCAGACUUGAGCCCCUGUUUGCCAGCUCAGGUUCUACUGUUGGCUGAUGGUUGCCUUUUUGAAGCCUGCCUGUGCUUUGGGUGCUGCCAGUUGGUCCUGCGUGGUUUGGUUGGGUUGGGUUAGAUCUUGGGUGGGAGGUCUCAGGGCAGGAUGCAGUAUAUGCCAGUCACCAUUUUACCGUUUUUAAACAGUUUACCAUAUUACCAUUUAGAAACUGUAAAUUCAAUUGAAGCAGUUCAAUUGUGUGUUUUUUGUAUCUGUGUGUUUUGGUUAAAAGGUCUGAAGUCAUCUCAGCUCAAACAUCUGACGAAGAGAAGACGACCAAAGAGAGGACCCGGCCUCUCUUCUCUGAGGGUCCUCAGGUGAGAACCACGAUGGAGGAUCUUCAACACAUUUCCCCCCACCAAACAGUGCUUACAUGAGCCUUUUUCAAUUUUAAAUCUGCGUCAGCAAAAUCAAUAGCUCUUUGUUUUUUGUUGCGUUGUAUCCCAUCUUAAAAGGCAAAGACAGACAUCACAGUUGCCGUUGUUAAUUUGCUACAGCAGAUCGAAGAGAAAAUAAACCAGAUCAAUGCAUCUUUAGGAUUCAGUUAGCUCGCUGCAACAAAUUAAAGUUUGUUGCUUUUGAAACUUUUCAUUUGGUAAGAAUUUCGUACUAAUGGCUUCAUAGUUCUGGACCAUAAUAAAUAUAGA